AACGCGAAGAACCUUACCAGGUCUUGACAUCUCCUGACAACCCUAGAGAUAGGGCGUUCCCCUUCGGGGGACAGGAUGACAGGUGGUGCAUGGUUGUCGUCAGCUCGUGUCGUGAGAUGUUGGGUUAAGUCCCGCAACGAGCGCAACCCUUGAUCUUAGUUGCCAGCAUUCAGUUGGGCACUCUAAGGUGACUGCCGGUGACAAACCGGAGGAAGGUGGGGAUGACGUCAAAUCAUCAUGCCCCUUAUGACCUGGGCUACACACGUGCUACAAUGGAUGGUACAAAGGGCUGCGAGACCGCGAGGUUAAGCGAAUCCCAUAAAACCAUUCUCAGUUCGGAUUGCAGGCUGCAACUCGCCUGCAUGAAGCCGGAAUCGCUAGUAAUCGCGGAUCAGCAUGCCGCGGUGAAUACGUUCCCGGGCCUUGUACACACCG
RNAcentral lists this ribosomal RNA (435 nucleotides) under Bacillus sp. T28. Its description in RNAcentral is "bacterial SSU rRNA". It matches the Rfam family "Bacterial small subunit ribosomal RNA", at positions 958 to 1392 of the family's 1533-position model. RNAcentral also lists the same sequence under 2 other names. Lineage: Bacteria; Bacillati; Bacillota; Bacilli; Caryophanales; Bacillaceae. The record is from RNAcentral.